This is a long non-coding RNA of Saimiri boliviensis boliviensis (Bolivian squirrel monkey), 3462 nucleotides long. The record is from Ensembl. NCBI's taxonomy places the organism in Eukaryota, Metazoa, Chordata, Mammalia, Primates, Cebidae.
CUGCAUACCUUGUGUUUAUUUUCUCUAAUUUUUUUCUUAUUUCCCAUUGAUCUAUUUGAUCUGGGAAUGCCUGUUGAUAACUGUGCUCUGAAUUACGUUUACAGGUGAUUGGAGACCUAUACUCCCAAUUUGAUGGAUCUGAAAUAGUGCUGCUGACUAAUGGGGAGGAUAACACUGCAAAUUCUUGUACUGAUGAAGUAAAACAAAGUGGGUCCAUUGUUCAUUUUAUCACUUUGGGAAAAGAUGCUGAUGAAGCAGUAAUAGCGAUGAGCAAUGUAACAGGAGGAAGUCAUUUUUAUGCUUCAGAUGAAGCCCAGAACAAUGGCCUCAUUGAUGCUUUUGGGGCCCUUACAUCAGGAAAUGCUGAUAUCUCCAGAAGUCCCUUCAGCUGGAAAGUAAGGGAUUAACACUGAGCAGUAAUGCCUGGAUGAAUGACACUGUCAUAAUUGAUAGCACAGUGGGAAAGGACACAUUCUUUCUCAUCACAUGGGAAAGCCUGCCUCCCAGUAUUUCUCUCUGGGAUCCCAGUGGAAUGAUAAUGGGAAAUUUCACAGUGGAUGCAGCUUCCAAAAUAGCCUAUCUCAGUAUUCCAGGAACUGCAAAGGCGCUGAUUCUUUCAAGAAUGAUGGGGUCUACUCCAGAUAUUUUACAGCAUAUACAGAAAAUGGCAGAUACAGCUUAAAAGUACGGGCUCAUGGAGUAACAAACACUGCCAGGCUAAACUUGCGGGAUCCACUGAGUAGAGCUGCAUACAUACCAGGCUGGGUAGUAAACGGUGAGUAUUCAUGAUAUUUAUAAUCCAGUGAUAGUUUGAAUAAUAUUGUGAUUUGAUAUAAUGAAGGCUUCAGUCUGUUUCCCUAGUGGAAUAAACUUUAUUCCUGAUGGAAUAAAUUUCUCAGUCAGACUAGGAUUUGCCUCUAAAUUAGUCUAAGCUUUGGUGUAAUGUCUGGCACCUAGUAAGCACUCAAGCACUCAAAAAAGGUCAGUUAUUAUUUUUUGAUCUUUCAAUUUAGGUUUGGGGGUACAUGUGCAGGUUGGUUAUAUAGGUAAAUUCGUUUCAUGGGGGUUUGUUGUACAGAUUAUUUCAUUACCCAGGUACUAAAGCUAGUACUCAAUAGUUAUUUUUUCUGCUCCUCUCCCCCCUCCCCACCUCUGCCCUCAAGCAGGCCCCAGUGUCUGUUGUUACCCGCUUUGUGUCCAUGAAUUCUCAUCAUCUAGCUUCCACUUAUAAAUGAGAAUAUGCAGUAUUUUGGUUUUUUGUUCCUGCAUUAGUUUGCUGAGGAUAAUGCCCUCCAGCUCCAUCCAUGUUCCUGCAAAAGACAUGAUCUCAUUCAAAAACAUCAGUUGUUGUUAUGUGAGUUUGGAACAUCUUAUGUAUAUCAACAGUAAUAUGCCCAAUUUUUAGCUCAAGAUGAAGGAAACAGACCAAUUUAUGAGUCUAAGCACAAGCCAGUGCAGAAUUUAUCCUUCAGAUUAUGUAUGCUAUAAGAGUAAACAUUUAUUUGGAUUUUAUUAAGUCAAAAAGAAAAAAUAUGUACAGUAAAGUGAUAUAAGAAUUAAGAAUGCAUAAUUUGCUAGCUGUUAUUUAGUCCCUUAUCACUCUUAGGGGUUUUCUACUAGCAAUUGAAAUACAAUCAGAAGAAUUAUUCCUUAGCACUUGCAGCAUGGAGAGAGGGUCUUAGCACAAUUGGGUGGAGAAGAACUGGCAAUGAUUUUUCCAGGUAUAUUCUCAGAGAGCAGAUAAUUCAAGAAGUAAAGCAAUUCCUUUUUUAAAAAAGGCACAUAUUAAAUUAUAUAAUAUUAGUCUCAUCCAGUGUAGCCCUAAUUCUAAAGCAAUAUAUUAUCUUAUUCUGUCCUACAAUGUCCAAGCAAAGAUUCUCUCACCAAUUGGAUGCUUAUGAUUGUCACAAAACUUAGUAAAAAUGUGACUGUAUAUAUUUUUUAAAAAGGAAAAGACAAGUGGGGUAGAGAAGGUGAUUCACUGAAUUCUAAAAAAUACCAGCAGUUUUGCCCAUCAUAAACCAGGAAAUGUGUAAUGCAGGGGAAAUUGAAGCAAACCCACCAAGACCUGAAAAUAAUGAGGAUACUCAGGCCACCUUGGAGAAUUUCAGCCGAACAGCGUCCGGAGGUGCAUUUGUGGUAUCACAAGUCCCAAGCCUUCCCUUGCCUGACCUAUACCCCCCAAGUCAAAUCACAGACCUUGAUGCCACACCUCAUGAAGGUGAGAUUGUUCUUACAUGGACAGCACCAGGAGAUGAUUUUGAUGUUGGAAAAGGUAAGGACGAAGUGUAAUGUGAUUUUGACUUAAGUGAAAAGUGCUAAUUGCAAAAACAAGGGUGUAAGAGUGGGUGAGGGGAGAAUGGUUUUAAAUUGAUAGCUUAGCGAAGCAUUAAUUUUAUAAUCUGAUAUUUUUCAAUCAAUCAAGUGACACAUUUUAACAUGGUCCUACUUUUUACACAGAGAAGAUAGCAGUUUGCAGAGCUUAAGAUCAGAAUUCGGCUUUUAUUAAAAAAUGAGUAAGGCUUUUGAUAUGAGUACAUGUUUUGCAUAACUAGACAUUUUUGAGAAUAAAUAAAAAGAAAUAAAUAUGCUGCACUCCAGUCUCUAAACUCUUGUAACUUUUUUUUCUUAGUUGAACAUUAUAUCAUAAGAAUAAGUGGAAGUAUCCUUGAUCUAAGAGACAGUUUUGAUGAUGCUCUUCAAGUAAAUACUACUGAUCUGUCACCAAAGGAGGCCAACUCCAAGGAAAUCUUUGCAUUUAAACCAGGAAAUAUCUCAGAAGAAAAUGCAACCCACAUAUUUAUUGCCAUUAAAAGUAUAGAUAAAAGCAAUUUGACAUCGAAAGUCUCCAAUAUUGCUCAAGUAGCUUUGUUUAUCCCUCAAGCAAAUCCUGAUGAAAAUUAUACUACUCCUACUCCAGACAAAAAUUAUACUACUCCUACUCCAGAUAAAAAUUAUACUACUGCUAUUCCUGAUAAAAAUCAUCAUUCUGGAGUUAAUAUUUCUACCCUGGUAUUGUCUGUGGUUGGGUCUGUUGUAAUUCUUAGCAUUAUUUUAAGUACCACCAUUUGAAUCUUAACAAGGGAAAAAUCUACAAGUAGACCUAGAACAGGGUUUUAGAAAACAAAACAGGAUAAGUAAAAGGUAUUUCUGAAUCUCAAAAUUCAUCCCGUGUGUGAUCAUAAACUCACAAAAAUAAUUUUAAAUGUCUAAAAUAAUUUUUAAGGAUACUUGGAUUAAAUAAAACAUCCAUGGAUAUGUAAAGAACUGUGUGAAAAUUUAAAUUUAAUAAUUGUACUUAUUUGUUAUUUUAUUUGUAAGAAAUAGAGAUGAACAAAAACCCUUUUUCAUACUCAUUCCUGGUUGUAUAUUAUUUGAUACAAAAGUUUUCUGAAAUGAUAUUUCAAAUUUCAUCAAGAAAUGUAAAGGAUCUAUUUGAGUAGUCAAAAUACAAUUAAAGGA